AGGGAUUUAGCUCAGCGGCACAGCACUUGCCUGAUAAGCAUGAGGUCCUGAGUUCAAACCCCAGUACCCCAA
RNAcentral lists this transfer RNA (72 nucleotides) under Heterocephalus glaber (naked mole-rat). It matches the Rfam family "tRNA". Rfam says of the family: Transfer RNA (tRNA) molecules are approximately 80 nucleotides in length. Their secondary structure includes four short double-helical elements and three loops (D, anti-codon, and T loops). The record is from Rfam by way of RNAcentral. Lineage: Eukaryota; Metazoa; Chordata; Mammalia; Rodentia; Bathyergidae.